Molecule: long non-coding RNA, 607 nt
Organism: Cebus imitator (Panamanian white-faced capuchin)
Lineage: Eukaryota; Metazoa; Chordata; Mammalia; Primates; Cebidae
Exons: 2
Source: RefSeq, a predicted model, not a curated record
UACAUUACACUGGAGCUUAGCAAAUCUGCACUGCAGGAUUUGCCAAGGAAAAUCAAACUGGUCGCUUUCUAAGCUCCUCCCAUCUCCCAUGUGAUUCGUAAUAUUUUUCUAGUGACUUUUAGGCUGAAGAGGAAGCUUGUCCAGUUCUUCUUUCUGACAAACCGCGGCCUGGACCAGCUGGUGAAACAUAAUUCUGAAUCCUGCCCACAGCCUUCGGUGGUGUUGGAUGAACGGCCAGAGCCUUGGGAGCCCUGAGUUUGAUUUCAAGUUUUAAGGCCGGCACCAGUGGAGUGAUGAAUGGUGAAAGCUGUCCCCUUAAAGGAGCACAAUUGCCUUUAGGUGACUGCUAACUCUGGGCUUUUGCUGAGGACAGUGUUUACUUUGUGAGCUUAAUGACAGGGCUGGCUUUCUGGGAGUGUUGCAAUGAAACAGACUCAGACAGAGGCCAUCAUGGACCUCCUCCCUAGCAAGGCCAUUACGGCUGGCAUCUCAAGAGCAGUUCCAUUGAACUUGGGAUUUGGGCGUGAGACACAGUUUCAUCAGAAGAAUUUAAACCGAAGUCUACAUUUGCCCUCUGGAUAAAUGUGUGUGUUCGGCAGCAACCACA